AUUGCUUCUUGGCCUUUUGGCUAAGAUCAAGUGUAGUAUCUGUUCUUAUCAGUUUAAUAAACACAUUCUUGAACCUCAGGUUACAAAACUUUGGUUUAAGGUCAUAGUAGACCCAGUCAGCCCAGAAUGUAGAACUUUGAGUUUCUUGGGUGACUUUAG
Small nuclear RNA from Prolemur simus (greater bamboo lemur), 159 nucleotides. Its record names the gene U2. It matches the Rfam family "U2 spliceosomal RNA". Rfam says of the family: U2 is a small nuclear RNA (snRNA) component of the spliceosome (involved in pre-mRNA splicing). Complementary binding between U2 snRNA (in an area lying towards the 5' end but 3' to hairpin I) and the branchpoint sequence (BPS) of the intron results the bulging out of an unpaired adenosine, on the BPS, which initiates a nucleophilic attack at the intronic 5' splice site, thus starting the first of two transesterification reactions that mediate splicing. Lineage: Eukaryota; Metazoa; Chordata; Mammalia; Primates; Lemuridae. The record is from Ensembl.